This 447-nucleotide ribosomal RNA is filed under the name Desulfobulbaceae bacterium enrichment culture clone MS_ACE_O12. RNAcentral describes it as "bacterial SSU rRNA". It matches the Rfam family "Bacterial small subunit ribosomal RNA", at positions 46 to 481 of the family's 1533-position model. The record is from RNAcentral. Lineage: Bacteria; Pseudomonadati; Thermodesulfobacteriota; Desulfobulbia; Desulfobulbales; Desulfobulbaceae.
GCUUAACACAUGCAAGUCGAACGCGAAAGUUUCUUUCGGGAAAUGAGUAGAGUGGCGCACGGGUGAGUAACGCGUAAGUAAUCUACCCUGGUAUUUGGGAUAACCCACCGAAAGGUGUGCUAAUACCGAAUACGCUGAUUUAUCAGGAAAGGUGGCCUCUUCAUGAAAGCUACUGUACCAGGAGGAGCUUGCGUACCAUUAGCUAGUUGGUAGGGUAAAGGCCUACCAAGGCGACGAUGGUUAGCGGGUCUGAGAGGAUGAUCCGCCACACUGGAACUGAAACACGGACCAGACUCCUACGGGAGGCAGCAGUGAGGAAUAUUGCGCAAUGGGGGAAACCCUGACGCAGCGACGCCGCGUGGAUGAUGAAGGCCUUCGGGUCGUAAAAUCCUGUCAGAUGGGAAGAAGUGUAUAUCUGCUAGUACCAGGUAUAUUUGACGGUACCUU